AUGCCUGUGAAGACAAACUUGAUGCAAACUCGUUUGACGCAAGUGUUUGAUCGUGAUGGAGUUAAGGAGAAGAAAACUGUUUUGGAGAGGAAGAUGUCAGAUCGAAAUCCUGAUGGCACACAGAGGCGUAGUCCACGUGUGAAAGCUGUUUCCCAACCUGAUAAUAGCAAAGCUGAUGCGGAUAGUUUUGCUGUGAAAAUUGGUCCAAGCAAACUUGGUGGCUCCUCUGUUCGUCGGAGUCCACGAGGUUUGACAAAUAUGAAGCCUUCUUCGUCUCCUCUUCAAGAGCGGUCUUUGUUGAAAGAAAAUAAGAAGCGUAAAGUUCAUCCUGCAAAAGUGAACAAAGGUGUGAAGAAGCAUGCUCGUGUUGAAGCUGAAGAUUCUGCAUCUGAAGAAGAUGAUAUUGAAGUUGAUUCAGAAGAUGAAUUUGCAGUGCAUGUUAGCGUCAUGAGUCCGGUCAAGCCGGUGGGAGGCAAUGCCGGAAAAGUUGCCUUGGAUGAAGGUGACCAACGGAAAUUGAACUUAACUGUGCGAUGUUCGUUGAGAGAGGUUGAAGAUUGUGCUAAAUUGCUCGAGUGGAGGGUGAAGUCUAACAUUUCCCGCCCUCUGAUGUGA
Molecule: ribosomal RNA, 615 nt
Filed under: Triticum aestivum (bread wheat)
Lineage: Eukaryota; Viridiplantae; Streptophyta; Magnoliopsida; Poales; Poaceae
Description: partial small subunit ribosomal RNA
Source: RNAcentral